CAAUAGCGUAUAUUAAAGUUGUUGCGGUUAAAAAGCUCGUAGUUGGAUUUGUGGCGUACGGUGGGUUCCGGGCACUUGUUGUCUGAGUAACUUGCUGUUGCCAUCCUUGGGUGGAACCUGUGUGGCAUUAGGUUGUCGUGCAGGGGAUGCCCAUCAUUUACUGUGAAAAAAUUAGAGUGUUCAAAGCAGGCUUAUGCCGUUGAAUAUAUUAGCAUGGAAUAAUGAGAUAGGACUUUUUUGCUAUUUUGUUGGUUUGCGCAAAGAGGUAAUGAUUAAUAGGGACAGUUGGGGGUAUUCGUAUUCCAUUGUCAGAGGUGAAAUUCUUGGAUUUUUGGAAGACGAACUACUGCGAAAGCAUUUACCAAGGAUGUUUUCAUUAA
RNAcentral lists this ribosomal RNA (380 nucleotides) under uncultured eukaryote. RNAcentral's name for it is "partial 18S ribosomal RNA". It matches the Rfam family "Eukaryotic small subunit ribosomal RNA", at positions 592 to 976 of the family's 1831-position model. The record is from RNAcentral.